RNAcentral lists this long non-coding RNA (254 nucleotides) under Monodelphis domestica (gray short-tailed opossum). Its description in RNAcentral is "lncRNA (ENSMODG00000039191.1)". Lineage: Eukaryota; Metazoa; Chordata; Mammalia; Didelphimorphia; Didelphidae. The record is from RNAcentral.
AGUAGGUGUAUGUUUGGAGCAGAGAGAUGAUAACCCGACUCAAGCAUGGGAGACAACACAAAUAAGGACACAGAGAAAGAAGAGGUCAUAUGAUGUCAGUUCUGAGUUAGAAUUGAAGGCUGAAGAAGAAUCUGCUGACUGGACCUGUGAUCCUGUUCCUGUCGUCUCUGUUCUUAACUCUCUUCCUUUGGAUUGACACAUGGUUAACAAAGUUGGGGCAACCUAGUAUGCUGAAUGGUGGUAAUAGCAAUUUC